RNAcentral lists this long non-coding RNA (658 nucleotides) under Lathyrus oleraceus (garden pea). RNAcentral describes it as "Pisum sativum (pea) long non-coding RNA (PSAT_LNC041669)". Lineage: Eukaryota; Viridiplantae; Streptophyta; Magnoliopsida; Fabales; Fabaceae. The record is from RNAcentral.
UAUAAUAAAAAGGAAGGAAAUAUUAAUUAACGAAGUGUAAGCAUGUUUAAGAGGUAUAUGGAUAAUUAAGAUUCAAAGCAAUCAUACAUUUGCAAACGUUCUCAAAUGUGAGAGUGCUCUUUCUGACCAAUUAAAAACAAUAGUAUAAACGCAUGCAAUAAAUUGCAACGGUAAUUUUUGCAACUGAUAGAAAAAUAAAUACAACAAUAUUAAUAGUAAUUAAUAUGACAAUGUAUAAUUUUCAACGGAUAACGGAUAAAAAUUAACGAUAAUAAAUUUAAUAACGGUAAUAAUUAUAAAUAGUCACCUAUUUUAUUACUUUUAUUCACAAUUAAUUUUAUUUUCAAUUUGUUUUAUCUCAUUUUAAUUAAUUUUUUCUUAUAUUGUCAAUGCAUCCCAAUCAACAUAAUGUAAAACGGUAGUAUUUCUUUUUUUUAUUUCAACUCAACAAAAACUAAUAUUUUAAAAAUGCAUCUCUUAUUCACACAAUAAUCUAAAUUUUUAAAACUCUCCACAAUUUCAACUUGAUAAAACGUAUAUGAAAAUAUUAUUGGUAGAAGAAUAACAAUUAUUGAAAAAUAUUUUUUAUAUAAUAUUUUAUUUUAUUUUGUACUAGUAAUUUAUUUUAACGUUUAUAUUCUUUUAAUAAAUUAUUUUC